GAUCUACUGGCUUCGAGGGAAACACUGGUGGUGUCCAGCAUCGCUUGCACUCCAUGAGAGGAGCCUGGUGAAUGGGACUUGAAGCCACACAACGAGUGAGCCAAAUAAACUGCUGCAGACCUUGAGCAUUCCUCUCCUGUGACCCUGUGUAGGAAGAUGAUGGAAGAAUAAGAAAAAAAGACUGCUUCUGUAGAAAAGGCAGAGGAAAACCC
Molecule: long non-coding RNA, 212 nt
Filed under: Gallus gallus (chicken)
Lineage: Eukaryota; Metazoa; Chordata; Aves; Galliformes; Phasianidae
Source: RNAcentral